UUUCCUAUGAAGAAACUGUGCAGGUACUCAUAUCUUUUCCAAUUUCUUGAAAGGAAUUUGCUGAAGGGCAUAUUUAUUUGGGUUAAUUACAAAAAAGACUUGAACUUCAUUUCAACUCUCAAAUCCCAAGUUCUUAACUAUAGCUAACUUUCAAAAUAGUCAAUUAUGGCCUAUACUUCUUAUUUAGAAUUGUGAUGAGGUCAUCAAAGUUCAUUAAUUACAUGUAAAAUAACACAUAGAUGGAAUAAUUACACAUAAAUUUUAAUAAUAUCUGUAGCCUAAUAUCAAUAGCUUUUUCAUUAUAUUGAUGUUUC
RNAcentral lists this unclassified non-coding RNA (314 nucleotides) under Hevea brasiliensis (rubber tree). The record is from RNAcentral. Lineage: Eukaryota; Viridiplantae; Streptophyta; Magnoliopsida; Malpighiales; Euphorbiaceae.